Molecule: ribosomal RNA, 350 nt
Filed under: uncultured bacterium
Lineage: Bacteria
Description: bacterial SSU rRNA
Rfam family: Bacterial small subunit ribosomal RNA
Source: RNAcentral
UCGAGAAUUUUUCACAAUGGGGGAAACCCUGAUGGAGCGACGCCGCGUGGAGGAUGAAGGCCUUCGGGUUGUAAACUCCUGUCAUGCGGGAACAAGAAAGUGAUAGUACCGCAAGAGGAAGAGACGGCUAACUCUGUGCCAGCAGCCGCGGUAAUACAGAGGUCUCAAGCGUUGUUCGGAUUCAUUGGGCGUAAAGGGUGCGUAGGUGGCGAUGUAAGUCUGGUGUGAAAUCUCGGGGCUCAACCCCGAAAUUGCAUCGGAUACUGCGUUGCUUGAGGAUUGCAGAGGAGAGUGGAAUUCAUGGUGUAGCAGUGAAAUGCGUAGAUAUCAUGAGGAAGACCAGUUGCGAA